Molecule: microRNA precursor, 84 nt
Filed under: Ovis aries (sheep)
Lineage: Eukaryota; Metazoa; Chordata; Mammalia; Artiodactyla; Bovidae
Description: miRNA (ENSOARG00000022915.1)
Source: RNAcentral
UAUUGGGUUGGCCAAAAUGGUCCUUAGGCUUUUUCUGCAAUAUCUUACCAAAAAACCUAAACAAACUUUUUGGUCAACCCAAUA